Lactuca sativa (garden lettuce) is the source of this 1572-nucleotide non-coding RNA. The record is from RefSeq and is a predicted model, not a curated record. Lineage: Eukaryota; Viridiplantae; Streptophyta; Magnoliopsida; Asterales; Asteraceae.
CCUUUUCCCCUUAUGCCUCCCACCGCCGGUUUCUUCCCUUGUCUCUCCGACCAACCUAGCCCAUCAAGGCCAUCGCUACCCCUCCUCCGGUCGGAGUCCGCUGCCACCAUUCUUCCGUCGCUGAUGUUGUUUUGUUACCAUCGUUGUGUGGACGAGCCUACUGUCGCUGCUCCUUCGCCAUUGACGCCACGACGUCGCUGCUGGGGUUCCUGUCGGAGGUUGCGCACCUUCCUCGUCCUCGGGAUUCUAUUUGUGUUGGUUUUUGGGAGCUGCUGUUAAAAGCCAUAUGGUGCUGGUGGGGAUUUUGGUCGAGUGUAACUGUGAAGAACCACCAUGGCAGCCGGCCAUGGUGGCUGCUACCGCGACUUGUGAGUACAUUGCCGCCGCCGGACGCCGCUUGAUUGAUGGUUGGAUCAUAUGUGGGAGUCAGAACCGUGUAGGAGUAUGUGUUUGGUGUUGUGUUCCUGGAGCGUGUGUGUUUGUUUGCUGAUCGGAAAAGCUAAGGAGAAACCGCCAUGGCCGCCAUGGUGACUGCCACCCUCUGCCGCCGCCGGCCACCACAAGAUCGGGAAUUUGUCAUCCAGCAGCUGGGGUUGAGUCUGCAGGACUUCAGCAAGUGUGGGAUUGUGUCUUCGGGACUUCAGCAGUGUGAGGUGAGUUACCUUCCAGUAGCGGUGGGUCUACGGCCACAAUGCCGGCCCACCAGUAGGAGUUGUUGUUAGAUGAUUGUCUUUGUGAUAAUUGUCUAUGUUUGCUACUACUUGUUUUGUUAUGUGCUAGCAUGAUAUGAUGUUAUGUAAUAGUGGUAGUAGGGGUGAAUUAGUCCCCGGUUACCGGUCGAUAGGGCCGAAGGGGUAGAUUAGUACCCAACUAUGCUAGACAGAUUAUGAUAUAUGUGAUAUGAUAUUAUGUGGUAGUAGUAGGGGGUGAAAUAGUCCCCAUUUACCGGUCGACAGGACCGAAGGGGUAGGCCGGCACCCAGAUAUGCUAGGCAGUAUAUGACUUAUGUGUUUAUGCUAUGCUUUUAUGUGGUGGUGUUAGGGGGUGAAAUAGUCCCCGGUUACCGGUCGAGAGGACCGAAGGGGAGCCCAGCACCCAGGUAUGCUAGGCAGUAUCCGGUCAAGAGUACCGAAGGGGAGGCUAGCACCCAGAUAUGCUAGGCAGUAUCCGGUCGAGAGGACCAAAGGGGUAGGUCGGGCACCCAAAUAUGUCUGACAGUAUAUGUAUGUUAUAUGAUCGUAUGGUAUGUGGUAUGAUGGGUGAACUCACUAAGCUUCGUGCUUACGGUUUUCAGUUUUGGUUUCAGGUACUUUGUGUUUAAAGGAAAGGAGUCGGCUUGAUCGCAGCGCAUCACACUAUGGUUUUCCGCACAUGAGAUCUUUGGGAUUACACUUUGAUAUUGUUCUAUGAUAACAUGUUUGAUUAUUUAUACUUUGGUUUUGACAUGACAUGAUAUUACAAAUGUUUUAUUACACUGUUGGUUUUAUAAUGACGUAUUUAAAAAUGAAAUUUUUGGCCUGUAUUUUUGGGAUAUUACAAUUCAUUUUUUAAAUUUAGGUUUAUUGAAGUAGA